This 464-nucleotide ribosomal RNA is filed under the name uncultured bacterium. RNAcentral describes it as "partial 16S ribosomal RNA". It matches the Rfam family "Bacterial small subunit ribosomal RNA", at positions 339 to 795 of the family's 1533-position model. The record is from RNAcentral.
CUACGGGUUGCACCAGUGGGGAAUUUUGGACAAUGGGGGAAACCCUGAUCCAGCCAUGCCGCGUGAGUGAAGAAGGCCUUCGGGUUGUAAAGCUCUUUCGGCUGGGAAGAAAUCGCACAGGCUAAUACUCUGUGUGGAUGACGGUACCAGCAUAAGAAGCACCGGCUAACUACGUGCCAGCAGCCGCGGUAAUACAUAGGGUGCGGGCGUUAAUCGGAAUUACUGGGCGUAAAGCGUGCGCAGGCGGUUGUGCAAGACAGAUGUGAAAUCCCCGGGCUCAACCUGGGAACUGCAUUUGUGACUGCACGACUAGAGUACGGCAGAGGGGGGUAGAAUUCCACGUGUAGCAGUGAAAUGCGUAGAGAUGUGGAGGAAUACCGAUGGCGAAGGCAGCCCCCUGGGCCGAUACUGACGCUCAUGCACGAAAGCGUGGGGAGCAAACAGGAUUAGAUACCCGGGUAGUC